GACGAACGCUGGCGGCGUGCUUAACACAUGCAAGUCGAACGGGAUUUAGUAGACAGAAGCCUCGGCUCAAGAUUACUAAUGAGAGUGGCGAACGGUUGAGUAACGCGUGAGCAACCUGCCUAUGACAGUGGGAUAGCCUCCGGAAACCGGGUUUAAUACUGCAUCAAAUCGUAGAAACACAUGUUUCAACGUUCAAGUAUUUAUCGGUCAUAGAUGGGCUCGCGUCUGAUUAGCUAGUUGGUGAGAUAACAGCCCACCAAGGCGACGAUCAGUAGCCGGGGUGAGAGGAUGAACGGCCACAUUGGAACUGAGACACGGUCGAAACUCCUACGGGAGGCAGCAGUGGGGAAUAGUGCACAAUGGGGGAAACCCUGAUGCAGCGACGACGCGUGAACGAAGAAGGUAUUCGUAUCGUAAAGUUCUGUCCUAUGGGAAGAUAAUGACAGUACCAUAGAAGAAAGCGCCGGCUAAAUACGUG
This 478-nucleotide ribosomal RNA is filed under the name uncultured bacterium. RNAcentral's name for it is "partial 16S ribosomal RNA". It matches the Rfam family "Bacterial small subunit ribosomal RNA", at positions 28 to 507 of the family's 1533-position model. The record is from RNAcentral.